UAGGGUUUGAUCCUGGCUCAGAUUGAACGCUAGCGGGAUGCCUUACACAUGCAAGUCGAACGGCAGCACGGACUUCGGUCUGGUGGCGAGUGGCGAACGGGUGAGUAAUGUAUCGGAACGUGCCCAGUAGCGGGGGAUAACUACGCGAAAGCGUAGCUAAUACCGCAUACGCCCUACGGGGGAAAGCAGGGGAUCGCAAGACCUUGCACUAUUGGAGCGGCCGAUAUCGGAUUAGCUAGUUGGUGGGGUAACGGCUCACCAAGGCGACGAUCCGUAGCUGGUUUGAGAGGACGACCAGCCACACUGGGACUGAGACACGGCCCAGACUCCUACGGGAGGCAGCAGUGGGGAAUUUUGGACAAUGGGGGAAACCCUGAUCCAGCCAUCCCGCGUGUGCGAUGAAGGCCUUCGGGUUGUAAAGCACUUUUGGCAGGAAAGAAACGUCGCGGGUUAAUACCCCGCGAAACUGACGGUACCUGCAGAAUAAGCACCGGCUAACUACGUGCCAGCAGCCGCGGUAAUACGUAGGGUGCAAGCGUUAAUCGGAAUUACUGGGCGUAAAGCGUGCGCAGGCGGUUCGGAAAGAAAGAUGUGAAAUCCCAGAGCUUAACUUUGGAACUGCAUUUUUAACUACCGGGCUAGAGUGUGUCAGAGGGAGGUGGAAUUCCGCGUGUAGCAGUGAAAUGCGUAGAUAUGCGGAGGAACACCGAUGGCGAAGGCAGCCUCCUGGGAUAACACUGACGCUCAUGCACGAAAGC
RNAcentral lists this ribosomal RNA (758 nucleotides) under uncultured bacterium. RNAcentral's name for it is "bacterial SSU rRNA". It matches the Rfam family "Bacterial small subunit ribosomal RNA", at positions 1 to 760 of the family's 1533-position model. The record is from RNAcentral.